UACAAUCAGCGGGCGAUGGGGUCGUCACAUCCCUACGUCUUAUUCUUGAUAUCCAUUUCGAGUGACAUUAUUAUUUUUUCCUUUAUUUAUCUUUUAUUCUUAGGUAAGGCUUUUUACAAUAUGUAUAUAAAAGUAAAAUAUAAAAACAAAAUAUAUAAACACAUUAUAAAAAAACCGGACAAGUGCGAGUCGGACUCGCCCACCGAGGGUUCCUUGUAGUAUUUGUUGUUAUAGCGGCAACAGAAAUACAUCAUCUGUAUUUCAACUGUUCAUGAGACAUGAGCCUGGUGACAGACGGACGGACGGACGGACAGCAGAGUCUUAGUAAAUAGGGUCUCGUUUUACCUUUUGGGUACGGAACCCUAAAAACCUAACCUAGGGUGCCCGAAGAAAACGAACAGACUUAUUUGUAUAUUUUUCAAAGAUGUUAAAAAUGUCUCUGGAAAUCGCAAUUAAAAGCUAAUCAAAAUCUAAAUGUAAACAAGUCAGUUCUACAGGUAAGAUUAAACGACACGCGAUUUUCGAACUAUUCAAACGUAGUGAUCCCGCGCUUUUUCAAAUUUGCCGCCUUUUCUACUGACAAGUUUCGCUUAACCAUGCAAUAUGUAUUCAAUAUAUUAUAUUCAUGCAUUUUGGAAAUAAUAAUAUUCAUCUGCAUUGCUUACAACGUUACUAUGUAUAUAUAAAUAUGUACCUAGUCACGCAAACAUGAUCAAGAUUUAUUUUAUACACCAUUGUGCAUUUGUGUGUAUGUUUAUGUCAGUACCCCUAGUGUAAAUAAAUUCGAUUUCGAAACGUGACGUACGCGUUUGCGUUGUCUCAUUUUGUAUUAGAUUUAGAAAGAGCGCGCCAAGCGGGACGUUUUGGAAACUCAAAAUCCUAUACAAAAUGAGACUUAACGCAAACGCGUUCGUCACGUUAUGAUGUCGAUCAAAUUUACACUAGGGGUACAUGUACCAAGUACCAAUACUGACACAUGUAAGUAUAUCGUGUUAAAAAAAACGUCCUUAUAAAUUUGGUUAUAAAGUAUUAACAUUAAAGUCAUUAUUGUCUACCUAGUUAUUCCAAAGCAAAGUGAAAACAUAAUUUAAACGAGGGCAAGAAGGCUGCAUUUCGUGUGUACUUUUUUAUUUUAAUUGUAAUCUUGAAUGUAGGGCAAGGUUGGUGCGUUCGAGUAACAUUAAAAUAGAACAAAUAACUUGAGGCACGCACACUUAAGUGUUUGUUGAGCGCUCGUAGCCUUAUAGAUUGCUGUUUUUUACCUAGCUAUUAAAUGAACUAGGCCUUAAUGACAUGGCAGUAAGGCUUAUCACGGUGAUUUUAUAAACUCUAACAUCAAUUAUUCAUAGAUAGGAUAGAUUUAACCCUUAAACCAUUUGAUAUUCCUUUCUAAUGUCAUUUAACAAUGCUUCUACUUAGUUAUUAUAAAUUAGAUUUAACAAUAAGUGUAAAAAAAUUAAAACAAUUAUAAAUUUAAAUGGAGAAUCCGGAGAACAGAGUACGAGGAGAUAUUGCAAAUAGUAUCACUUAUUUUAUGAAAUAGGGAUCAAUUAUUAACGUAUAAUACAGGAGUAUUUCGAGGAAAUACGAGUAUUACAAUGGAAAAAUAUAUGUACAUAGGUAGUUCGAGGAACGACAUUAGCAGUCGGUGCUAUCAAUGGACCUCGCCUCUGACCCACUGACCCAGUUUCGCGGGAGACUUAUAUCGUCAAGCGCCGCCAUUACACGCACGUACCUAACAACUACCAUCUACAUAUAUUAUAAAUCAGCAAAGGAUGCCUUUAUGCUUUAUUUAUCUUUUCAUCACACUUGCUCGAAAAAGAUCUUAUUUCAUGCAGGUGUGCUGAGGGACAAAGGCCUAUUGUUCCCGCGGGAGUUAUGGAUUGUGAAAAUAAAACUAUAACUCCCUACUCUCCCUAGGGAGUUAUAGCUUUUUCUUUAAUUAUGUCACUUAUUCAUACAAACCAAGUAGCAUAAAUGAGUUUUACUUUUAAAAUACUGACGUUUAUAAUUUAAUAGUAUUGUUUAUGUUUCGAAAUAUUUAAUUUGAUUAAUUUAACAGCCGUUUAAAAUAUUUUUACAUAAUAUUCAAUCGUGGCUGAAUGCCGAAUAGGUCUUUGCCUUCGAUGCCUCACCUGCCAAGAAAUUACAAAAUGGCGGACGAAUGUUUGAUAUGUCACCGUAUUUAAGAACUAUUUUGUUUAAAAUUUAGUUUUUUCUUCUCAAGUGUGAUGAAAAACAUUUUGUGUAACUCCGGGGGUAAGAAUAUUGCAAACUCGGGUCUUUAAUUACCACCCUCGUAUCCAAAAUUUCACUUUCCCCCUCGUUGCACAAUGUACUACAACUCUGUUUUUUCACUUAUUCGUUUUCAGCUAAGUAUCUCUCUUGUUUUGCCGAAUAAUUUGGUCAGGUCAGGACAAGCUAUAAUUGCAUUAGCAGCUAGAGAGAUAAACCGCACCUUAUAAGCAAACAGGUUUCGUAAAAGGUAAAGGACUAGCGAACAAAUGUUCUGCUAGUUAGAUCUAGAGAUGGGCCAAAUACCAAAUAUGAAUAUUCGUCCGAAUUAUUCGAUGAAUCUAUAAGCCAUCUUCCAAUUCUUAUAUAUCAUCUGAAACCGUUUUAAUACUAAUAGUUUGUUUUAAUGCGUGUGUUUUAAUGACAACAGGAAGACGUAUUCUGGGACAGUAUCUACUUGCAAAGAUCUGGAGGAGCCUAUACACACCCAAACAUCCUCAAUCUGGAAAUAAAGAGGUGGAAAGAGACAAAACAUAUCUCAGGCAUUGUCAGGUAGGUAAUGGAACAUACUGACUGCCGAGUUUGCUCGAAAUUUAAUGUGGUAAUUCACUUAGUAUUAAAAUACAACUAAAACCGCACAUAACAGCGUUAAAUGAAAAUAUAAAAUAACAACACAGCCCAGUGACCAAUAUACUUUCAUCUCGGGAUAAAUUAAUGUAUUAUAAAAACAAAAUUUUAAGGAGAGCUACGUUCUGAUGUUUCAAUAAAAUUAAUUCGGAUGACGCCCAGUCGCUGUGACCUGACACAAAUCGGUUGGCGUCAACAACUGCGGCAUACUUUGACGAUGAAAUUACCUAAUUUACGCUGAGCAUGGAAUGUUUGAAGAGACAUGUUAAAUUAACACGCGAAAUGUGGGAUGAUACGAAAGUAUUACGUCGUGACACAUUCUAUUCCGAGUCUAUCUAUAAAAAAAUCUAUUUCCUCAAACAA
Long non-coding RNA from Cydia pomonella (codling moth), 3225 nucleotides. RefSeq lists it as uncharacterized. The record is from RefSeq and is a predicted model, not a curated record. The transcript has 2 exons. NCBI's taxonomy places the organism in Eukaryota, Metazoa, Arthropoda, Insecta, Lepidoptera, Tortricidae.